This 466-nucleotide ribosomal RNA is filed under the name uncultured bacterium. RNAcentral's name for it is "bacterial SSU rRNA". It matches the Rfam family "Bacterial small subunit ribosomal RNA", at positions 329 to 792 of the family's 1533-position model. The record is from RNAcentral.
UCCCAGACUCCUACGGGAGGCAGCAGUGAGGAAUAUUGGUCAAUGGGCGGAAGCCUGAACCAGCCAAGUCGCGUGAGGGACUAAGGCCCUGCGGGUCGUAAACCUCUUUUGCCGGGGAGCAGUGGUCCGGACGCGUCCGGACCGGGAGAGUACCCGGAGAAUAAGCAUCGGCUAACUCCGUGCCAGCAGCCGCGGUAAUACGGAGGAUGCGAGCGUUAUCCGGAUUUAUUGGGUUUAAAGGGUGCGUAGGCGGAUUUUUAAGUCAGCGGUAAAAUGUCCGGGCUCAACCCGGGCCGGCCGUUGAAACUGGGGAUCUUGAGUGGGCGAGAAGUAUGCGGAAUGCGUGGUGUAGCGGUGAAAUGCAUAGAUAUCACGCAGAACUCCGAUUGCGAAGGCAGCAUACCGGCGCCCGACUGACGCUGAGGCACGAAAGCGUGGGGAUCGAACAGGAUUAGAUACCCUAGUA